RNAcentral lists this ribosomal RNA (253 nucleotides) under uncultured bacterium. Its description in RNAcentral is "partial 16S ribosomal RNA". It matches the Rfam family "Bacterial small subunit ribosomal RNA", at positions 524 to 776 of the family's 1533-position model. The record is from RNAcentral.
GACAGAGGUGGCAAACGUUACCCGGAUUCAUUGGGCGUAAAGGGCGUCUAGGCGGUUUGGUGUGUCCUCUGUGAAAACCCCCUGCUUAACGGGGGGAGGCCAGGGGAAACUACCAGACUAGAGGGUCGGAGAGGGAAGCGGAACUACCAGAGGAGCGGUGAAAUGCGUAGAUACUGGUAGGAACCUCGAUAGCGAAGGCAGCUUCCUGGCCGAUACCUGACGCUAAAGCGCGAAAGCGUGGGGAGCAAACCGG